Molecule: long non-coding RNA, 1454 nt
Organism: Corythoichthys intestinalis (scribbled pipefish)
Lineage: Eukaryota; Metazoa; Chordata; Actinopteri; Syngnathiformes; Syngnathidae
Exons: 3
Source: RefSeq, a predicted model, not a curated record
UGUGACUUUGCUCUACUUAUAUUGUUUAAUACGUACUGAUGAAUUCAGCAGCGAAUUCGCUAAUGCUGCUAAUGCUUUUUACAUUUUUUUUUCACAAUGAACAGUCUUCUUUGUGUAGUUUUCAUUAUAUUGCACUCUUAUUUUUCAUUAUGUACAUGCCUGCAAUUCGCAGCUCGCUGUUUUUGUUGUUGUAUGGUAUUGUUGUUUUGCCUUCAUUUGUUUUGUCUGGUCCUUUGUAGUUUGAAUGUUGUCACAUGAUCCAAAUAGGACAAGCUGCAAGAUCACCACCCCAUUGGGAAGAAACUAAAUCACGACCCCCAAAUGGUAGUCUUCCCAUGCAGAUACAAGGAUGUCACACAGAUCCAAAUGGAAACAUCGAACACUGUAAAACCCACUGUGCAGACAGGACCAAUGGUGACAAUAUAAGACCAUGCCGAGCUUCAUGGACGGUUCAAACUCAUCCUGCCCAGGAACGGCUGGUAUGUUUUAUGUCUGAGACAAAUGUUGUGCUCAGUGGAAAUCUGGAUAGGCUUAUUAUUCCUUAUAUUAGUUAACAAUUGGACAUAAUUGAUUAUUUACUCUUUGUUUAUUUAACCAAUCAACAUUCUCAUUAGCUUAUGCAAAUCUUGAAUAUAAAGAGGCCAGAAAUGGUGUUGAUUGUCUAAAAAAAGAAAGUUUGAUUGACACGUGCUGACUUUUGGAACGUUGGCCUGAACAAUGAAAUGGAAUCAACUGUGAAUUUUGAGGAUUUAGUUUCUCUAAAGAACAUAAUGUCACUUGUACAAUUAAGUAAAAUGUAACUUUUUGUUUUUGUUUUUUUGCAGAUAUGAAAUGCAUAUUUAUAACUUGUCUAACAAGUAGCUCAUUCAAAGGUAUAAAAAAGUAUUUUUUUGGCGUGUGUAGGGUAUUAUUUUAACUAUGUAGCCUACAGAAUGCUUGUAUGGGCUCAUGUAGGUGUCUGCGUACGUUUGUAUUUAUAUAACAUAUGUCCGUGUGUAUAGAUUAUGUAUUUUUCAGGGAAGGACCAUAUUUGUGGCUGACCCCUAUGUUGUUGCAACAUGGUGAAAGCCUACAGGAUGUGACCCACACAUGCAUCUGCCUGUAAGGCUGAUUAGUAACAACUACAACUUGGAGCAUUGGGGGGGGGGGGGAUCAAUGCAGUAGGAGUUCCCAAGCAUCCUGCAGAUGGAAGAGGAUGAGCACGAACUACAAUGUCUUGGAGCCAUUCAAGUUCUGUUUCAACCAUCUGGAAGAUGGAUUUACCUUUUUUGAGGAGAUUGUUGACCAAAGAAAAUAUCUGGUAUUCUCUCAAUAAUAAUAAAAAAAUAAUAAAAAUAAAGUUUACCAUAUUAGAACUGGUUGUAUUGAGUUCAUUUUUCUACACUUAUAAAUUAGUUGUUUUUUUUCUUUUAUCCCAGAUGUUAGUUGUAGGUAGUUUUAAUUACCUGUGAUGA